AUGAUCGAUGAACUGCUGGAUGAGCUGUCUGGUGCUGCCUGGUUCACUAAACUUGAUUUGAGAGCUGGCUACCAUCAAAUUAGACUAGCCCCUGGCGAAGAAUACAAGACAACAUUCUCUACUCACAUUGGUCAUUAUGAGUUCACUGUACUGGCCUUUGGACUUAGUGGUGGUCCUGGCACCUUCCAGGGUUCUCUGAACACCACCUUGAAACCUGUCAACAGAAAGAACACACUAUGUGUCUUCGAUGAUAUUCUAAUCUUCAGUAAAACUUACAAGGAGCACCUGGCUCAUGUUAGAACAGUACUAGAAUUGCUUAGAGCUGAUCAGUGGAAGGUUAAGCUGUCCAAGUGUGCCUUUGCUCAGCAACAAAUU
Molecule: ribosomal RNA, 375 nt
Filed under: Triticum aestivum (bread wheat)
Lineage: Eukaryota; Viridiplantae; Streptophyta; Magnoliopsida; Poales; Poaceae
Description: partial small subunit ribosomal RNA
Source: RNAcentral